AACACAGCAACCAUGAGCAGCAUCUGCUUCCCUUGGCACAGGCUUCUGGUUAGAGACAAGAUAAUUUACAAAUAGGCCAGGCUGGUUAUGACUCAGCCCUAAUCACCACAAACAAUCCCUUUGUUUCAUCAAAGGAAAACCAGGUGGAGCACACAUCUACUGAGCACUGUGCAGCUCAGGUGCAUUAUACAGCACCUGAAGCCCAGGGAUGUGUUCAUUGGCCUCGCCCUUAAACACAGUGCAGGCUCAGGAAACCAGAUUACACCAUGACCUUGAUUAUGCAUCAUGCUUACAGCUGAUCCAGCUCAUUCUGGGGCUCCCAUGAGGCCAGACCUGCAGCAGGGACUGGCACAGCAGCCCCGAGGACUCUGACCCAGAUCCAGGAGUUGAUUUGAGAGUGGGAAGCUGAGGAAAAGGCCUGCAAGAGAUUGGCAGGAUCCCCAGGCAAACAGCAGAAACUGGCUGCCUUUCCUUUCCCCUCCACACCUUUCCUGGUUUCCACCACAGCAUGCUAGGGGGAGAGAAGAGCAGCCAAUUUUCUUUCACAGGUGCUCCACUGUGAACCCCCUGGGAAGAAGCCUUCAUCUUUGUAUCAGUUUCAAGUGUUCCCUUAUCUGUGGUUGUUCCCUGCGUUGGAAGAGUUGCCCUCCCUCACAGUUCCAAGGAGGUUCAUGCCUUCUCCUCAGCGGAGCGCAUCGAAGCAGCUCUGCACAGCCCCCGCCUCGGCACAGGAAAGGACAGAAAGUGGCUGUGGUGCCACUGCCAGGGAGCUCCCCCUUCACAGGGGCUGACCAGAGCAGCUCCUGCAGCACCUGUUACCCCGCUUUGCUCUUAAAUCAAGCUGCACUGGAAAUCGACCAAGCACAGCUCAAGUUAUUGACAGUGCCGAGCAAAGGCACAGGGAACUGCAGCGAGGGGAAGGGAGAUCAAUGGUGUCUUUGACAGAGGAAUGAAUCUGAGCAGAGCAGGGGACUCACAGAUUUGGGGAAGCUUUCUGAAGGCCCUGAAUAGCUUCCUCGAAGGCUGCAUCGCACACUGCGCUGUGACCUAGGCUCCGGUGAACGCCAGUGCCAUCCCUGGGAGUGGCCCAUGCCCGACGCGGUGACACGGCCGCUGCCGCGCGGGCGGCGGAGCCGGGCAGAUGCUGUCUGCAGCCAGGCAGGCUCUGACGCACGAGGGAUUUGGCCCAGCUAGAGCUUUGCAGAGCAUCAGCUGCACCCUUACAUCCACCUGCUACAACAGCCCUGGCAGCCAGUAGCUGCAAGGCAGGCACAGCACGGGAAACCCUCUCCUUCCCACCACGGCCUUUGCAAUUCCCAGCACAAGCAGUUACACAAAUUGUAAAAGAAAAAUCCAACCUGCAGCAUUUCUUAAUUAUUUAACCUUGGUUCAGCUCCUUUCCUGUCCUUACAUGAAAAACUUGCCUGUAGUUCUGCUUUGACUUUUCCAUGCAUAAAGACACCCCUGGUUGCUUGGUCACUAACAGGUACCCACUGCCUGCUCCCCACGUCCCAAUACCCACAAAAUACAGCUCUUAACGUCCAGAUUAGCACCAUUGUAUCGGUCAUGCACUAUGUACAGAGAAGGACUGGGGCAAAGAGGAGACUGGUGCAACCUUCCUGGAGCCACAUCAGUGAUGAGGGUGCUCCCAGUGCACAAGCAUGCUAUGGGUGAGAUGGAUUUCCACCCUAACCCCUAACACUGUCCUCCCUCCCCUUGAGAGAGCUGAGAGUGUUGUUUCUGUGGAAAAUGUGGGGUCAGGCUUGAUUACCAAACCUCUGAUCGAAGAGGAGAAAAAACUGCACACAGCAGAGAAAGCGAGUCAAGAGGAAAACAGCACAGCAGUCUCCAAACCCUGCCCUGAGCUUCUCUCAAAUUGCCCUUAACCAGUUGUUUCUUUGUGACUCAUAUUCCUCUUCUCCUUUAUCUGCCCUUUUUUCUU
RNAcentral lists this long non-coding RNA (1942 nucleotides) under Junco hyemalis (dark-eyed junco). RNAcentral describes it as "lncRNA (ENSJHYG00000004492.1)". Lineage: Eukaryota; Metazoa; Chordata; Aves; Passeriformes; Passerellidae. The record is from RNAcentral.